Molecule: ribosomal RNA, 308 nt
Filed under: uncultured delta proteobacterium
Lineage: Bacteria; Deltaproteobacteria
Description: bacterial SSU rRNA
Rfam family: Bacterial small subunit ribosomal RNA
Source: RNAcentral
UUAGGGUUAACGUCCCGCAACGAGCGCAACCCCCGCUUUAGUUGCUACCAUUCAGUUGAGCACUCUAAAGGGACCGCCGGCGGUUAAGCCGGAGGAAGGUGGGGAUGACGUCAAGUCCUCAUGGCCCUUAUGUCCAGGGCUACACACGUGCUACAAUGGGCGGUACAGAGGGUUGCCAACCCGCGAGGGGGAGCCAAUCCCAGAAAGCCGUCCUCAGUUCAGAUUGGAGUCUGCAACUCGACUCCAUGAAGGUGGAAUCGCUAGUAAUCGCGGAUCAGCAUGCCGCGGUGAAUACGUUCCCGGGCCUU